Molecule: ribosomal RNA, 872 nt
Filed under: Fusarium equiseti
Lineage: Eukaryota; Fungi; Ascomycota; Sordariomycetes; Hypocreales; Nectriaceae
Description: partial 18S ribosomal RNA
Rfam family: 5.8S ribosomal RNA (bases 490-643)
Source: RNAcentral
AUCCCCUAAACACAACCGGGGGCUGGGAGCUAACCUCUAAGGCGCCCCCGCCCAAUAACAGCAGCCCCCCUCUGCUUAAAGUUGGUGUCCAAGAUUUCUCCGUCCCACCACUAACGCUCUGUGGUGCUUAUUAACGGCGACAAAACCAAAUUCGGUGAAAAAAAUUCUAAUCACACGGGGUCUCACUCCGAACUGACAACACAAAAACAGUUUUGGGUUUUUGGGGCGCCUCCCCUGUAACCGAAACGGGUUCUCAGGCCGCGCAACCAUUGUAAGUUCAGGGGGUAUGGAGUCGUAACUCGUAAUGAUCCUUUGUAGGUGAACCUGCGGAGGGAUCAUUACCGAGUUUACAACUCCCAAACCCCUGUGAACAUACCAAUUGUUGCCUCGGCGGAUCAGCCCGCUCCCGGUAAAACGGGACGGCCCGCCAGAGGACCCCUAAACUCUGUUUCUAUAUGUAACUUCUGAGUAAAACCAUAAAUAAAUCAAAACUUUCAACAACGGAUCUCUUGGUUCUGGCAUCGAUGAAGAACGCAGCAAAAUGCGAUAAGUAAUGUGAAUUGCAGAAUUCAGUGAAUCAUCGAAUCUUUGAACGCACAUUGCGCCCGCCAGUAUUCUGGCGGGCAUGCCUGUUCGAGCGUCAUUUCAACCCUCAAGCCCCCGGGUUUGGUGUUGGGGAUCGGCGAGCCCUUGCGGCAAGCCGGCCCCGAAAUCUAGUGGCGGUCUCGCUGCAGCUUCCAUUGCGUAGUAGUAAAACCCUCGCAACUGGUACGCGGCGCGGCCAAGCCGUUAAACCCCCAACUUCUGAAUGUUGACCUCGGAUCAGGUAGGAAUACCCGCUGAACUUAAGCAUAUCAAUAAGCGGAGGGCAA